GGGCUGCAGUAUUUUGACUGUACAAAGGUAGCAUAAUCAAUAGUCUCUUAAUUGGUGACUUGUAUGAAAGAUUGGAUGAAAUAUAUACUGUCUCUAAUUAAUUUAUAGAAAUUAAUUUUUUAGUAAAAAAGCUAAAAUAAUUUUAAAAGACGAGAAGACCCUAUAGAGUUUAAUAAUUUAUUUAAUUAUACUUGUUAUAUAAUUUUUAAAAUUAAAAUUAAAUGAAUUAUUUUGUUGGGGUGAUAGAAAAAUUAAAUUAACUUUUUUUAAUUGUUAACAUUAAUUUAUGAUUAAAUGAUCCAUUGAUAAUGAUUAAAAGAAAAAAUUACCUUAGGGAUAACAGCGUAAUUUUUUUUUUUAGUUCAAAUAGGAAAAAAAGUUUGCGACCUCGAUGUUGGAUUAA
This 403-nucleotide ribosomal RNA is filed under the name Papilio iswaroides iswaroides. RNAcentral's name for it is "partial 16S ribosomal RNA". Lineage: Eukaryota; Metazoa; Arthropoda; Insecta; Lepidoptera; Papilionidae. RNAcentral also lists the same sequence under 1 other name. The record is from RNAcentral.